Oncorhynchus keta (chum salmon) is the source of this 959-nucleotide long non-coding RNA. RefSeq lists it as uncharacterized. The record is from RefSeq and is a predicted model, not a curated record. The transcript is spliced from 4 exons. Lineage: Eukaryota; Metazoa; Chordata; Actinopteri; Salmoniformes; Salmonidae.
AGAGACAGCAACAGACGACACAGAGAAAGUGAUGGAGAGAGACAGAAGAAUAGAGUUCCAGACAGUUGUAGAAUGUAUGCCAAGGCACAUUGUAAGAGCUGUAAAGAGAGAGGGAGGGAGAGAGAACAGGCAGAACCUGAUAUGUAAAUGAGCAGAGCAAAUGAAACUCACUUUUGACGACCUGAUGAUCAUUCCAGACUGUGUUUCUAUUGAGAGAUAAAAGGCUGGUUGAAUGAGUUGUCUAUGAAAGCUACUUCAUCUGUAAGAAAACAGGCGUCUGCUCCAGUGACUGGUUCAGUGCUCUAAAAUGAGUCUCUCUUGGGAGAGAAAGGAGGGGGACCCUGCCUCUAAAAUGAGUCUCUCUGGGGAGAGAGAGGAGGGGGUCCCUGCCUCUAAAAUUAGUCUCUCUGGGGAACAUGACACCAAAGCUAACAGACCAAUCCAGCAGGAGAGACCAGCCUCCCCUGUUCCCAGCUGUGUGUCCAUGAAGAGUGACCGGUCUAUAAUUCUACCUAUAGAGUUUAGAGAGGGAGACUUUUCUACUGAACAAAGGUAAGAACUCAUGGGUCCUGGUCAGUGAGUUAAACAAUACUUACAUUUACAUUUACAUUUAAGUCAUUUAGCAGACGCUCUUAUCCAGAGCGACUUACAAAUUGGUGCAUUCACCUUAUGACAUCCAGUGGAACAGCCACUUUACAAUAGUGCAUCUAAAUCUUUUAAGGGGGGGUGAGAAGGAUUACUUUAUCCUAUCCUAGGUAUUCCUUAAAGAGGUGGGGUUUCAGGUGUCUCCGGAAGGUGGUGAUUGACUCCGCUGUCCUGGCGUCGUGAGGGAGUGUGUUCCACCAUUGGGGAGCCAGAGCAGCGAACAGUUUUGACUGGGCUGAGCGGGAACUGUACUUCCUCAGUGGUAGGGAGGCGAGCAGGCCAGAGGUGGAUGAACGCAGUGCCCUUGUUUGGGU